GCCUUUUUUUUUUUUAAGUUUGUAUUUAUUUUYUAACCAGAAAACCCCAAGUCACUAGGGGCAUAAAACCAGUGUUCAGCCAAAAAAAGGAAAAGUUUCCAUUUUCUGUCCCAGAAGAACAUAAUACAUGUGCUUGAAAAAGUGGAAUUCUUUCUGAAAAUGUUUUACUGGUUUUGGCCAAAGAGGCUUCAUUUUUUMCCCUCGUUCAGUGAAAAGUUUAAAUUUCCAGUGGAAAUAAACUUCUCAGGUGGCUUUAAUAUUUAGCUCAUUUACAAUAUGUUCAGGGGAAAAAAGGGAGGAAAGUUUGUUCUUUGAGUUGAUCCACCAGCAUGUCAUACAGAAGUUUGCAGGUUUUUCUUUUUUUUUUCCUCCACCCCUUCCCCAGGGAAGUCGGUGUUUGCAUGUGCCUUGCAUGAUUGCACUUCGUCAUUAAACGGAAUUAAGUUAAUGCCUACAAAGGGUCUGAACUGCUAAAGGUCGGGCCUUUACUUAAUCAGGUCACCCAGUGCUGAAGGAUUAAGAGAAACAUAGGACUUACUCCAGGCCUUGUAGAUAAGCAAGGCUCCUUGUUUAUACCAUCAUUUUGCAACAAGAGAUGGAACUGUUGCGUAGUCCCACCAGAUCGGAUUUUGGAGGCACCUUUUUCUCCACGGCAUCUGAACCCUGUUUCAUCUCAGUUUCUUUGCCAAAAGGAAGGAAAGUCUACAAGAGGCCAUGAAAUCCUGUUGGGUGAGUUUCCAGGAGCUCGAGGUUUGACACUCUUGUCUACACAGAGCUUUGCUCACUGGUUUUGCUUUGCACUUUCAUUUGGACUUGGCUCACCUAAAAGCAGUUUUGAUUUAUUUCAGUGCUGUUUAUCCAUCUUGGUGCUUUUUUUUUUUCCUAAGGUAACUACGUGAAAGUAGUUACCGUGGAGUUAGUCUUAAUGCGGGCAGACCAGGAAGCUCCGAACCCCACCUUCCAUCAACCUGAUCUUUCAAAUAACAAUGUUAUUGCUGACCUGGAGAGGACCUGUGCUGAGAACCUGCAUCCCUUGCUCUGUUAGAGACACUGUAUGUGUAGGAGAUGCCAAACAUCACAUUUGAUUGGGGGAAGCUGAAGUCGUUCAAGACCAAAUUAACGUGCUAUGCAAUUAUUUGAAAUUUAAAAAACAAACAAAAAAUAGUUGGGGAGCUCUGUUCAUUUUGAUUUAGCCACAGAAUAUUUUUACUAAAACGCCUUCUAAUUCUUGCCUCUUUUUUUUCUUUUCUAUCAUUGGCCCCAGUGCAUUUAAUAUUAACAGCAGUUGAGAAGGGUUGAAAGAGAUUGUUUGAACCAGUCAAGUGCCUUGAAGUUAGUAUUUAUUAAAAAACACAAAACCCUAAAACUCCCCAAACCUCCUGUUAGAACAUGACCUGUAGACACCUCAUUAACUAAGGUGGCUUUGUAGUCAACACCGAGCU
RNAcentral lists this long non-coding RNA (1442 nucleotides) under Apteryx rowi (Okarito brown kiwi). RNAcentral describes it as "lncRNA (ENSARWG00000010685.1)". Lineage: Eukaryota; Metazoa; Chordata; Aves; Apterygiformes; Apterygidae. The record is from RNAcentral.